Molecule: long non-coding RNA, 723 nt
Filed under: Homo sapiens (human)
Lineage: Eukaryota; Metazoa; Chordata; Mammalia; Primates; Hominidae
Description: HSALNT0203948
Source: RNAcentral
UCUGAUUCCAAGGUCCACAUUGCUGUUUCAACUACACUUACCAUCUUCUUAUCCCUAGCAUGCAUAUUGGAUUCUCUUUUGCUUGUCUGAGUACUUAGCUGGAAUCUGAGUGGUUCCUUCAGUUCAUUUUCCAAACCCUUCUGCCAGAACAAGCUGGUUCUUCUGGGAAGACGGAACUGCCUACGGCCAUAUGCACCCAUCUGUUCUUCUCUGCAAAAAUGUCUUGGCCUUUUCCACACAGAGCCAGUGGGUGGUGGGGGUGACCACUGCAGGUGGACAGGCCAGAUUGCAAGAGCCCCCAUUCUAGAGAGGGUCCUGUCCCAUACCCAGAAGGAAGGAAUGCUGCACAGAGGCCAAGAAGAAUCCAGACAGACAGGCCUUGCCGGGCUUCCCCGCUCAGUCUGUUUGUUUUAGACCAUGCCUUCUUUGUCCAGUCAUAUUUCUACAAGCCUGACCAUACUUUGCUGAACCAAAGCAUGAACAUGGACAGUUUGCUCUAUAUCUUUGGGUCUUCAUCCUGAAGGAUCCUGUGUCACAUAUAAAACUAUGAUCAAAUAAAUUUGUAUGCCUUCCUCCUAUUAAUCUGCCUUUUGUCAGUUGAUUUUAAGUGAACCUUUGGAAAGCUAAAGGGAAGCUUUCCCUAGGUCCCUGUAACAUGUUAUGUUUUAGAGGUUUCAAAAUUAUUCAAAUGCUUUUGUAUGUUUUGAAUAUUUUCAUGGCAUG